RNAcentral lists this long non-coding RNA (3289 nucleotides) under Ficedula albicollis (Collared flycatcher). RNAcentral describes it as "lncRNA (ENSFALG00000023932.1)". The record is from RNAcentral. Lineage: Eukaryota; Metazoa; Chordata; Aves; Passeriformes; Muscicapidae.
UUUAGUUAAUAUCCUUCUUAUUAGAAAGGGAGAAUUUAUAUUAUGUAGUUCAAACUGACUUAAUCAGUGGCGUUGCUUGGAUCUGCAGGAUUCAUGGCUGGGGCAGGCUGAGUUAAUUUGGGGAGUGUGCAGUGGUGUCUGCUCUAGGUAGACCUCUUCAGUCCUGAGCACAGCUCUACAGCCUCAUCUGGGACUGGACUUCCAAUUUUGCACUUCAUUUUCAAUCACUGAGAUGCUUAAGUAGUUGACUUUAAAAUACAACUUAAAUUCAUUGUACCUCUAUAACCUUUUUUAAGAAAGGUUUUUAAAAAUAUGGUCCUCAACAUUUAAUGGCACACUGUUCUUUCAGUUCUUAAUGCUAUUUCUUUAGAUAAAUGAAAUUAAAAGCAUAUUGUAAAAUAUUUCAAACUCUGGAUUACAAAUAAAAAGACAAACAGUGUUCUCUCAGUUGUAAGAUGCUGUGCUGAAAACUUUGAGGGGCUUGGGCAUGAACUUGGGACAUUGUCUUUUAAACAUUUCAAGCUGUGAUUGCUUUUAAGUGGAAGAAAAAUGAAAAUUGCUAUGUUGCUCUUUUAUUUGACAGCUUAUGGAAUACUUUCAGUAUACUUGGUAGUAGAUGCAGCUCACAGCUUUCAUUAUCUCAUGUGAUCUGUUUCUUCUUUUUUUGUUGCUCUUUGAGAGGAGGAAAAAGUAAUUAGACAGAAAGGUCAAAAAAAUGGUGGAGUAUGCAGGAGAGAGUUAUGUGCACAAAACGUAAAAUGGCUUUGAAAAUCUAAGCUACUUGAAGCAUGCUUCAGACUGAAAGUAUCUUUCACAGUCCUUUUUCUGGCCUUUCUUCUUCAUUUUAACCUCUGACCACAAUGGGGAGAGUCUGUGCUGGACAUGUCAAAGAAAUUUGAUGUAAGUGAGGAAGGAUUUGGGAAGAGCAACAGUGUAUUUUGCUGGACCAGCUGGUGUAAACCUGGAUGUGCAGGGGAAAUAGAUGAGCUUUUGGAGUCUUGCCUCCUAAAAUUGUGCUUCAAAAAGUGCAAAGCCUCCAGGAGGCUUCAUGGCUUCAGCAACAGUGUGGCCAGGGAGACCAGGGCAGUGAUUGUCCCCUUGUACUCAGCACUGGUGAGGCCGCUCCUGGGGUUCUGUGUCCAGUUCUGGACCCCUAAUUCAAUGGGGACAUUUGAGGUGCUGGAGAAGGUCCAGAGAAGGGAAACACAGCUGGGAAAGGGCCUGAAACAUAAAUUCUCUGAGGAGCAGCUGAGGGAACUGGGGAUGCUUAUUGUGGAGAAAAGGAGGCCCAGGGGUCACUCUCUUUAACUUGUCACUCUCUUGUCACUCUCUUUAACUCCCCAAAAGGAGAGUGUAGCCAGGUGGGGGUCAGGCUCUUCUGCCAGGGAACAAGUGGGAGGACAAGGGGAAAUGGCCUUAAGUUGUGCCAUGGGAGUUUUGGGUUGGACAUCAGAAGAAUUUUUCAUGGGCUGCCCAGGGAGGUGGUAGAGUCACUGUUCCUGGAAGUGUUCAGGAAACAACUGGAUGAGGCACUUAGUCCUGUGUUUUAGGUGGUGGUUAAUUAAAGCACUUUCCCUUCUGAUUUGGUUCCCCAUCAAAGCCUCAAGUAGCUUCCUCUUUUGCAGCAGAUAGGUUUGCCAAAAGUACCUGCCUUGAUGGCUGGAGCAGCUGUUGGCCUUCUACGGCUCAUAACACCUGGUUUGUUAAGAUGAACAAAACCUGAUGCUAAUUUGCCUUGAAGCUUCUCUUUGCCACUUCUAAAGCAAGUUAUUGUCCAUGCAGCAGGGAGAAACUUGCAGCUUAAGGUGAUGUUUUUACUAGUUCUCUAUGUUAGUAGAUCUUGUGAGCCAGUGCUUUAAGGACUUGCUAUCUCUGACUCAAGAUUUUCCUACAGUGAGAGUGUUCUAUACAAGAGUAAUUUUCUCUUUUGGGCUCUCUGCUUAUUAAAAGAGUUGAGUUUUUGGAGCUCAAAGAAGCAGCUCUGUUUAGCUAUUUGUUUUUCCAAAGGUGUAGACACACAUUAUUUACAAGGUUUCUUUAUGUGUAUAUUCCAUGAUUCAAAGGAAUGAGUGGGAGAAAAAAAAGUUAUUGUUACAGUGUGAUUGAAUAAGCCAUUUUCAUGGCACAAUGUACUAAAAUGUUUUGGUCUAUCAUUUGUUUUCUUGAUUACCAUUUCAUCAUUCAGUUCAUGCUUAUCUAGUGCAUCUGAUGUCUGCUCAGAAAGGGUUUGCCAUCAUCUAAUGCACUAGUCCUUCAAAAUUUGUAUUCAAUUGCCCCUUUCUUUUUUAUGUUUGCUUAAAUCUUGGCUUUUUUUCUCCCUUUGAUAUGGGAUUGAUCUUGAAGGUAAGUGUUAGAGAAGAUUUUGGUGGCUGUAAAGUGCAAUGACAGGGAGCUUAUAAUCUACUUUGUUACUGCCAGGGUAUCUUUAUAGGUCCUUCUUUGUUUCCUGAUUGUUCAAAUGAAACCAAAUCGUGUCUCAACCACAGCUUUCAAAAUCCUGCUUUGACACCUUAAGCUCCUGAGGACCUCAGACACUUCUGAAAAAUACAAUUUAACUAAGUCAUGAAUAGGUUUUGCAGUGCUAAACACAGCAACUUCUAAAACACUACUAAAAACCUCAGACCUUGUGUUUUCAGAGAACUUGCAGAAGAAAUUUAUCAAAGCCAGAUCAUUUUUCCAAGAAGGAAUCUUGUGGAAACCCACUCAGCAGUGGCCGUAAGCGGAGUCACACUGGUACCUGAACAAAAACUGGUCCAAGGCAGCUUCCUAUCCUGGAAAGAUUUGGGAUUCCUCUGGUCAUUACCCUUUCUCUUUCAGUGUUCCUAGUGAAGACCUUGCAUGGAUAUGGAUACAUUCUUCAUUUCUCUUCACUCCCAGUGCAGUUGGUGUUGGCUGUGGGAACACUCAAUGCUUCUCAGGUGUGGGAUGCCAGUCUCCAUCCAGGCAUCCGUGAGCUUGAUGUCCAUGGCAGACCUGACCCUGGAGCCUGCUCUCCCAGCAGUCCCACUCUGUGUGCCAGAGACAGAUCUGGGGCUGGGGAUUUAUCCCUGUAGCGCAGCAGAGGAGGUGAGGGAGCUGUGCAGGGAGAGUCUGGCUCGUGCCCACCAGUGAACGUGCUGCAGAUGUGUCUGGGGCUGCGCCUGUGCCUGGUGGGAGGGAGCAGCUGCUGCUCCCAAAAGUCCUGCUCAGCACAGAAAGCACUCUGCUCGAGACCAGGGGUGCAUGUGACCUUCCUCAAGCUGGAAUGUGUACAAACAAAACAGGCCUGAAAUAAAAUGCAAUUAUAAAC